Molecule: ribosomal RNA, 270 nt
Filed under: uncultured bacterium
Lineage: Bacteria
Description: partial 16S ribosomal RNA
Rfam family: Bacterial small subunit ribosomal RNA
Source: RNAcentral
AAUCAACGCUGGCGGCGUGCCUAACACAUGCAAGUCGAACGAGAAAGUGGAGCAAUCCAUGAGUAAAGUGGCGACCGGGUGAGUAACACGUGACUAACCUACCUUCGAGUGGGGAAUAACCUCGGGAAACCGGGGCUAAUACCGCAUAAUGUCUUCGGACCAAAGGAGCAAUUCGCUUGAAGAGGGGGUCGCGGCCGAUUAGCUAGUUGGUGGGGUAACGGCCCACCAAGGCAAUGAUCGGUAGCCGGCCUGAGAGGGCGCACGGCCACA